GCUGAAGUAGCUCAGCUGGGAGAGCGUUAGACUGAAGAUCUAAAGGUCCCUGGUUUGACCCCGGGCUUCAGCA
RNAcentral lists this transfer RNA (73 nucleotides) under Leptosomus discolor (cuckoo roller). It matches the Rfam family "tRNA". From Rfam's summary of the family: Transfer RNA (tRNA) molecules are approximately 80 nucleotides in length. Their secondary structure includes four short double-helical elements and three loops (D, anti-codon, and T loops). Further hydrogen bonds mediate the characteristic L-shaped molecular structure. tRNAs have two regions of fundamental functional importance: the anti-codon, which is responsible for specific mRNA codon recognition, and the 3' end, to which the tRNAs corresponding amino acid is attached (by aminoacyl-tRNA synthetases). tRNAs cope with the degeneracy of the genetic code in two manners: having more than one tRNA (with a specific anti-codon) for a particular amino acid; and 'wobble' base-pairing, i.e. permitting non-standard base-pairing at the 3rd anti-codon position. The record is from Rfam by way of RNAcentral. Lineage: Eukaryota; Metazoa; Chordata; Aves; Leptosomiformes; Leptosomidae.